CUAAGACAAAAUGAUAAAAACACAAUCUGCGUACCACUGAAAAUACCAUGGCAACAGAUGUAAAAUUUAUUACUUGAAGUGUUCCUUAGUGUUCUUGUAUUUGCAGGAACAGUUGGCUUUGUAUUCGUGUACCUGAGGAAGUUGCAACCAGAUCAGGAGGCUAGCAUUUAUAGCUAUGGAUCAUGAGGAAUAAACAAGACAAGUGCAAUUUUAACCUGUACCUGAAUAAGGUGUAAAUGUUCAGAGGCCAGUUCUUUACACAAGGGACCGAGUGCUUGUUCUCAACCAAGUUGCAUGCAAGUCGGAAGACUAGUUUACAUCACUAUAGAUCAGGCA
Molecule: non-coding RNA, 336 nt
Organism: Penaeus vannamei (Pacific white shrimp)
Lineage: Eukaryota; Metazoa; Arthropoda; Malacostraca; Decapoda; Penaeidae
Source: RefSeq, a predicted model, not a curated record